RNAcentral lists this ribosomal RNA (501 nucleotides) under uncultured bacterium. Its description in RNAcentral is "partial 16S ribosomal RNA". It matches the Rfam family "Bacterial small subunit ribosomal RNA", at positions 30 to 523 of the family's 1533-position model. The record is from RNAcentral.
AUUGAACGCUGGCGGCAGGCUUAACACAUGCAAGUCGAGCGGGGGAAGGUAGCUUGCUACCGGACCUAGCGGCGGACGGGUGAGUAAUGCUCAGGAAUCUGCCUAUUAGUGGGGGACAACAUCUCGAAAGGGAUGCUAAUACCGCAUACGUCCUACGAGAGAAAGCAGGGGAUCUUCGGACCUUGCGCUAAUAGAUGAGCCUAAGUCGGAUUAGCUAGUUGGUGGGGUAAAGGCCUACCAAGGCGACGAUCUGUAGCGGGUCUGAGAGGAUGAUCCGCCACACUGGGACUGAGACACGGCCCAGACUCCUACGGGAGGCAGCAGUGGGGAAUAUUGGACAGUGGGGGGAACCCUGAUCCAGCCAUGCCGCGUGUGUGAAGAAGGCCUUAUGGUUGUAAAGCACUUUAAGCGAGGAGGAGGCUACUUUAGUUAAUACCUAGAGAUAGUGGACGUUACUCGCAGAAUAAGCACCGGCUAACUCUGUGCCAGCCGCCGCCGUAA